RNAcentral lists this ribosomal RNA (459 nucleotides) under uncultured bacterium. Its description in RNAcentral is "partial 16S ribosomal RNA". It matches the Rfam family "Bacterial small subunit ribosomal RNA", at positions 338 to 795 of the family's 1533-position model. The record is from RNAcentral.
CCUACGUGAGGCAGCAGUGAGGAAUAUUGCUCAAUGGACGAGAGUCUGAACCAGCCAAGUAGCGUAAAGGAUGACUGCCCUACGGGUUGUAAACUUCUUUUAUAAAGGAAUAAAACGAGGCACGUGUGCCUUUUUGCAUGUCCUUUAUGAAUAAGGAUCGGCUAACUCCGUGCCAGCAGCCGCGGUAAUACGGAGGAUGCGAGCGUUAUCAGGAUGUAUUGGGGUUAAAGGGUGCGCAGGCGGAAGAUCAAGUCAGCGGUAAAAUUGAGGGGCUCAACCUAGUCGAGUCGUUGAUUCUGGUUGUCUUGAGUGAGCGAGAGGUAUGCGGAAUGCGUGGUGUAGCGGUGAAAUGCAUAGAUAUCACGCAGAACUCCGAUUGCGAAGGCAGCAUACCGGCGCUCAACUGACGCUGAUGCACGAAAGUGUGGGUAUCGAACAGGAUUAGAUACCCUGGUAGUC